Long non-coding RNA from Marmota monax (woodchuck), 391 nucleotides. RefSeq lists it as uncharacterized. The record is from RefSeq and is a predicted model, not a curated record. Lineage: Eukaryota; Metazoa; Chordata; Mammalia; Rodentia; Sciuridae. The transcript is spliced from 2 exons.
GAAUGUCGCAUCCGGUUACUUUUCCUACAGAUGUCUCUGCUCCUUGCGAAUUUUUUGAUUCAAAAACCUGUGUAGGAGCUGUGACUGAUUACAGCUUAACUGAGUAUUUUUCUGUUUUCCUGAGUAUGACUUGGCUUCUCCUGAGGGAUGGAAACAGGAAGGUCCUGUGCCUGGCUGUGGGAUCAUGGCCAGGUCUCUCUCCUCUCCAGUGGGACUAUUGUCCUGAUAAGAAGAGACACCAGGAAUAAAGGUCACGUGAGGACACCAAGGGAAAGAAGUCAUCUGCAAGCCCAGGAGAAAGGUCUCAAAAGAAACCAACUCUGACAUCACACUGAUUUUGGAUUUCCACCCUCCAGAUAUGUGUGUAAAUAAAAUUUUUUUGUUUAAGCCA